Molecule: ribosomal RNA, 2931 nt
Filed under: Escherichia coli
Lineage: Bacteria; Pseudomonadati; Pseudomonadota; Gammaproteobacteria; Enterobacterales; Enterobacteriaceae
Description: bacterial LSU rRNA
Rfam family: Bacterial large subunit ribosomal RNA
Source: RNAcentral
GGGUUGUGAGGUUAAGCGACUAAGCGUACACGGUGGAUGCCCUGGCAGUCAGAGGCGAUGAAGGACGUGCUAAUCUGCGAUAAGCGUCGGUAAGGUGAUAUGAACCGUUAUAACCGGCGAUUUCCGAAUGGGGAAACCCAGUGUGAUUCGUCACACUAUCAUUAACUGAAUCCAUAGGUUAAUGAGGCGAACCGGGGGAACUGAAACAUCUAAGUACCCCGAGGAAAAGAAAUCAACCGAGAUUCCCCCAGUAGCGGCGAGCGAACGGGGAGCAGCCCAGAGCCUGAAUCAGUGUGUGUGUUAGUGGAAGCGUCUGGAAAGGCGUGCGAUACAGGGUGACAGCCCCGUACACAAAAAUGCACAUACUGUGAGCUCGAUGAGUAGGGCGGGACACGUGGUAUCCUGUCUGAAUAUGGGGGGACCAUCCUCCAAGGCUAAAUACUCCUGACUGACCGAUAGUGAACCAGUACCGUGAGGGAAAGGCGAAAAGAACCCCGGCGAGGGGAGUGAAAAAGAACCUGAAACCGUGUACGUACAAGCAGUGGGAGCACGCUUAGGCGUGUGACUGCGUACCUUUUGUAUAAUGGGUCAGCGACUUAUAUUCUGUAGCAAGGUUAACCGAAUAGGGGAGCCGAAGGGAAACCGAGUCUUAACUGGGCGUUAAGUUGCAGGGUAUAGACCCGAAACCCGGUGAUCUAGCCAUGGGCAGGUUGAAGGUUGGGUAACACUAACUGGAGGACCGAACCGACUAAUGUUGAAAAAUUAGCGGAUGACUUGUGGCUGGGGGUGAAAGGCCAAUCAAACCGGGAGAUAGCUGGUUCUCCCCGAAAGCUAUUUAGGUAGCGCCUCGUGAAUUCAUCUCCGGGGGUAGAGCACUGUUUCGGCAAGGGGGUCAUCCCGACUUACCAACCCGAUGCAAACUGCGAAUACCGGAGAAUGUUAUCACGGGAGACACACGGCGGGUGCUAACGUCCGUCGUGAAGAGGGAAACAACCCAGACCGCCAGCUAAGGUCCCAAAGUCAUGGUUAAGUGGGAAACGAUGUGGGAAGGCCCAGACAGCCAGGAUGUUGGCUUAGAAGCAGCCAUCAUUUAAAGAAAGCGUAAUAGCUCACUGGUCGAGUCGGCCUGCGCGGAAGAUGUAACGGGGCUAAACCAUGCACCGAAGCUGCGGCAGCGACGCUUAUGCGUUGUUGGGUAGGGGAGCGUUCUGUAAGCCUGCGAAGGUGUGCUGUGAGGCAUGCUGGAGGUAUCAGAAGUGCGAAUGCUGACAUAAGUAACGAUAAAGCGGGUGAAAAGCCCGCUCGCCGGAAGACCAAGGGUUCCUGUCCAACGUUAAUCGGGGCAGGGUGAGUCGACCCCUAAGGCGAGGCCGAAAGGCGUAGUCGAUGGGAAACAGGUUAAUAUUCCUGUACUUGGUGUUACUGCGAAGGGGGGACGGAGAAGGCUAUGUUGGCCGGGCGACGGUUGUCCCGGUUUAAGCGUGUAGGCUGGUUUUCCAGGCAAAUCCGGAAAACUAAGGCUGAGGCGUGAUGACGAGGCACUACGGUGCUGAAGCAACAAAUGCCCUGCUUCCAGGAAAAGCCUCUAAGCAUCAGGUAACAUCAAAUCGUACCCCAAACCGACACAGGUGGUCAGGUAGAGAAUACCAAGGCGCUUGAGAGAACUCGGGUGAAGGAACUAGGCAAAAUGGUGCCGUAACUUCGGGAGAAGGCACGCUGAUAUGUAGGUGAAGCGACUUGCUCGUGGAGCUGAAAUCAGUCGAAGAUACCAGCUGGCUGCAACUGUUUAUUAAAAACACAGCACUGUGCAAACACGAAAGUGGACGUAUACGGUGUGACGCCUGCCCGGUGCCGGAAGGUUAAUUGAUGGGGUCAGCGCAAGCGAAGCUCUUGAUCGAAGCCCCGGUAAACGGCGGCCGUAACUAUAACGGUCCUAAGGUAGCGAAAUUCCUUGUCGGGUAAGUUCCGACCUGCACGAAUGGCGUAAUGAUGGCCAGGCUGUCUCCACCCGAGACUCAGUGAAAUUGAACUCGCUGUGAAGAUGCAGUGUACCCGCGGCAAGACGGAAAGACCCCGUGAACCUUUACUAUAGCUUGACACUGAACAUUGAGCCUUGAUGUGUAGGAUAGGUGGGAGGCUUUGAAGUGUGGACGCCAGUCUGCAUGGAGCCGACCUUGAAAUACCACCCUUUAAUGUUUGAUGUUCUAACGUUGACCCGUAAUCCGGGUUGCGGACAGUGUCUGGUGGGUAGUUUGACUGGGGCGGUCUCCUCCUAAAGAGUAACGGAGGAGCACGAAGGUUGGCUAAUCCUGGUCGGACAUCAGGAGGUUAGUGCAAUGGCAUAAGCCAGCUUGACUGCGAGCGUGACGGCGCGAGCAGGUGCGAAAGCAGGUCAUAGUGAUCCGGUGGUUCUGAAUGGAAGGGCCAUCGCUCAACGGAUAAAAGGUACUCCGGGGAUAACAGGCUGAUACCGCCCAAGAGUUCAUAUCGACGGCGGUGUUUGGCACCUCGAUGUCGGCUCAUCACAUCCUGGGGCUGAAGUAGGUCCCAAGGGUAUGGCUGUUCGCCAUUUAAAGUGGUACGCGAGCUGGGUUUAGAACGUCGUGAGACAGUUCGGUCCCUAUCUGCCGUGGGCGCUGGAGAACUGAGGGGGGCUGCUCCUAGUACGAGAGGACCGGAGUGGACGCAUCACUGGUGUUCGGGUUGUCAUGCCAAUGGCACUGCCCGGUAGCUAAAUGCGGAAGAGAUAAGUGCUGAAAGCAUCUAAGCACGAAACUUGCCCCGAGAUGAGUUCUCCCUGACUCCUUGAGAGUCCUGAAGGAACGUUGAAGACGACGACGUUGAUAGGCCGGGUGUGUAAGCGCAGCGAUGCGUUGAGCUAACCGGUACUAAUGAACCGUGAGGCUUAACCUUACAACGCCGAAGGUGUUU